Molecule: unclassified non-coding RNA, 520 nt
Filed under: uncultured Glomus
Lineage: Eukaryota; Fungi; Glomeromycota; Glomeromycetes; Glomerales; Glomeraceae
Description: SSU rRNA
Rfam family: Eukaryotic small subunit ribosomal RNA
Source: RNAcentral
AGCAGCCGCGGUAAUUCCAGCUCCAAUAGCGUAUAUUAAAGUUGUUGCAGUUAAAAAGCUCGUAGUUGAAUUUCGGGAUCAAUUUGCUGGUCGUGCCUCUGGUACGUACUGGUAUUAUUGGUUUCUCCCUUCUGACGAACCAUGAUGUCAUUAAUUUGAUGUCGUGGAGAAUCAGGACUGUUACUUUGAAAAAAUUAGAGUGUUUAAAGCAGGCAUUAGCUUGAAUACAUUAGCAUGGAAUAAUGAAAUAGGACGUUUGAUCCUAUUUUGUUGGUUUCUAGGAUUGACGUAAUGAUUAAUAGGGAUAGUUGGGGGGCAUUAGUAUUCAAUUGUCAGAGGUGAAAUUCUUGGAUUUAUUGAAGACUAACUACUGCGAAAGCAUUUGCCAAGGAUGCUUUCAUUAAUCAAGAACGAAAGUUAGGGGAUCGAAGACGAUCAGAUACCGUCGUAGUCUUAACCAUAAACUAUGCCGACUAGGGAUCGGAUGAUGUUAAUUUUUUAAUGACUCAUUCGGCGCCUU